GCAGCGACGGCGGCGGGAGGCACCGCGGGCCCGCCCGCCUGGGGAACCCCGAGUCCCCGCGCGGGGCCCCGCCCCGGCCUCGCCCCGGGCCUGCCGCCGCCGCCGCGCCGCGCUCCCAUUGGUGCGGGGGCGGUGACGUGCGCGAGCGGGCGCCGGGGCCGGGCCGGGGGCGGGCGCGCGGCUGAUGAAACCCGGCGCCGGAGCCCGCGCGCCCUCCACGCUCCAUUCAGUCGGCGCGGGCAGGUAUUUCCAUCCUCAAGGGACAGGGCUGAACUAGAUCUGUUCUCAGGGGCCCUUCUCAGGUACAUGACUGCUUUGUAGCCACCUGCCCCAGGGUGGUGGCUUCCUUCCUUUUCACCUAGCCUUCUUGCUUCCUCACACCUAACAUGGGGAUCUCUUGGUGCUUGCAGCCUAGCCUCCCUGUGCUCCCCUGCCACUCUCCAAUGGGUAACUUGGCUGUGGGUUUGUCCUAGUGCCAGAAGGAGGACCCUCUGCCACCUGGAGUGUGCCUUCUUUUUCAUCCUUGGGCCUUCAGGGCACCUGCCUUCCAGGUGUUUCUUGUGCCUUAGGUCACUGGCAUUGGAUCCCACGCCAAGGUUCUAUCUACCACAAGGAUUUUAGUUCUCUUCCAUCCACAGAAUAGAGGAGUACCAUCUCUCAUGGCAGAUUUACAGUCUUGUAGUAAACUUGAGAUGAACAAUCUUGUAGUAAACUUGAGAGGCUUCUUUUUCCUCUUUUUCCAUAAUUCACUCCCACCAACUCCAAAGCAGCAAAGCAGCUUUGAAAAGAACUCCCCUGCAAUUGUUUAAACUGCACCUGAGUUUUCCAUAGGAGGUUUAGUGCAUUUACUGCCUGUGAGUUAGAAGAAUGGGCAACAAAAUGGCAAAACAAUCUGGUGGACUGCUAAGUAUGUUCAUUCCACUCUAAAGUCAUGCCUUCAGAUACGUGGCAUUGGCAGUACUCUGGGUGAAGCUGGGUUUACCUUACCCACUGGUCAGGAUUUGUCCCUUCUAGGGGAGCACAGGUUGUAGGAAAGACAUUUCUGAACAUUGGGAUAGAUUCUGGUAUAGCAUUGACCCAUCCUGCCAUGCCCAAUGUCUUUCAUUUGGCUUUUUCCCUCUCUUGAUUGUUGGUAAAGUUUCGGACUGCCAGAUGGUACGUUUGGUGAACAAACGGCAUAAACGAGUUAGAGCUGUGUGUGGUUAAAGGCAUUUACAACGUCAGUACAGCCUGAACUGAUGUGCCCGGAGAUGAAGGAGGUGGCUCAG
RNAcentral lists this long non-coding RNA (1268 nucleotides) under Canis lupus familiaris (dog). RNAcentral describes it as "lncRNA (ENSCAFG00000050996.1)". The record is from RNAcentral. Lineage: Eukaryota; Metazoa; Chordata; Mammalia; Carnivora; Canidae.